Molecule: ribosomal RNA, 126 nt
Organism: Gorilla gorilla gorilla (western lowland gorilla)
Lineage: Eukaryota; Metazoa; Chordata; Mammalia; Primates; Hominidae
Source: Ensembl
AUCUACGGCCAUACCACUCUGAACACGCCCCAUCUCGUCUGAUCUCGGAAGCUAAGCAGGGUCGGGCCUGGUUAGUGCUUGGAUGGGAGAUGGAGUCUCGCUCUGUCACUCAGGCUGGAGUGCAGU